RNAcentral lists this long non-coding RNA (1651 nucleotides) under Sus scrofa (pig). Its description in RNAcentral is "lncRNA (ENSSSCG00040014766.1)". The record is from RNAcentral. Lineage: Eukaryota; Metazoa; Chordata; Mammalia; Artiodactyla; Suidae.
GCGGGUUGGGGAUCUGGUGUGGCGGCAGCUGUGGUGUAGGUGGAAACUGCAGCUCAAAUUUGAUCCCUGGCCUGGGAACUUCCAUAGGCCAUGGGCGCAGCUGAAAAAGAAAAAAAAAGAAAGUACAUAAAAUCAACAGAAUGAGGAGUUCCCAUUGCAGCACAGUGGUAAUGAACGGGACUAGUAUGCGUGAGGACUCGGUUCGAUGCCUGGCCUCGCUCAGUGGGUUAAGGAUCCAGUGUUGCCGUGAGCCGUGGUGUAGGUUGCAGACAAAUCUCCAGUCCAGCUUUCUGUGGCUGUGACUGUGGUGUAAGCUGGCAGCUGCACCUCCGAUCUGACCCCUAGCCUGGGACUUCCGUAUGCCAUGGGUGCAUGCCUAAAAAGACCAAAAAAAGAAAAAAAAAAUCAACAGAAUGAGAGGAAGAAUUAGAGAAAAAUAAAUGAACAGACCCCUACCCCUUCCCUGCUGGAGGACUCCCUAGCUUUGAAUUGGAUGCUAAACUGAAGUUUUCAUCCAGCCUGGGCUGGAUUUGUUUUUCCAGGCUGAGCUGCAAAUUGGCUGGAUCAUCACAUUCAGUGCCUCUGAGAAGCCCGUCACACAGAUCUUAUCUUAACAGUGGACGCAGAGUUGUUCAAAGUUUUCAGUCAAGCAGACGUGUACAAAACUCACCAUUUGAGAAGAUAACACAAGCCCAACCUACCCUUCUCCUACAGCCCCGUCAUUGCUUUCUCAGAUGGAAGUCUAUGUCUCAGAAAAGCAAAGUAUCCACCUCAAGAUCAGCAGUUACUAAGUAAUGUAAUUGCUACUAUUACAACACACUUGCCAAUAUUAACCAAUUUUAUGUGCCAUAAAAUUAGAGAGCAAAAUGUCUAUUAAAUGGUUCAUGAUUAUGCCACCUAAACAUAUGGCGGAGUCUGGUCGACCUGCAAAUAUUCUCUUUCCCUCUCAGUUCAUUGCUCUUUUUUCUAGUUUCACAGGCUGAGAGAACACCAGCAUCUCUCCACGUUAAACUUAGACUCCAAUUCUGAUCUCUGAACACAGAAUCCUCUGAAAUCCAAUCUGAAAAACACAGAACAUUUUAAAAGGUAUUCUUACCUCUAAUUUUGUCUGUAAAAUUAGAAUAUUUUGUUCUAAUGUACAUUUUUGGUUGUAGGUCAAAACCACUUUUUAAUGUCUCCUAUAAGAUCUAGGUCCUUAUCUAAUGCUUCUUCCAUGAAACUAGAUGUAAUUUUGACUUGUGAUUCGGUUAAUGCACCUAUGGUGAACCAUGUUUCGUCGUCCAUUAUAAUUUCAUAUUUGUACUUAUAUAAAUGCCCAGAACUAAGCAUUUUUUCAUUUUAAAAAUAUGUAAAGCUAUUUUAACGAGCACAUGCUCUCUACACCUCUUCCUCUAACCUUUCUGACAAUGUUAAAAUUUCCUAACUUGGUAGAUUUAUGAAUUAAAAAAAUAAUCAGUGGGAAAGCAUGUCCUCCAUUAACCUAGGACAAAAUGUUUCAUCCAUUAAAAACAAGAACCAAAAAACCUGACCAUACUAUUCCAUGGAAAUAUUUCUGAAGGGUCAAAUACAGCCACUAUUGAAGAGUGGAUAGAGAAAAUGGGGAUGUGAUUUUAAAAAUACAUGAAAAUAUACACUCAUGUACAAACAAGCA